RNAcentral lists this ribosomal RNA (506 nucleotides) under uncultured bacterium. RNAcentral's name for it is "bacterial SSU rRNA". It matches the Rfam family "Bacterial small subunit ribosomal RNA", at positions 40 to 518 of the family's 1533-position model. The record is from RNAcentral.
CGGCGUGCCUAAUACAUGCAAGUCGAACGGUCUUUCUAUGGAAGCUUGCUUCCACUGAGAAGAUAGUGGCGAACGGGUGAGUAACACGUGGGUAACCUGCCCAUAAGAGGGGGGAUAACAUCCGGAAACGGGUGCUAAUACCGCAUAGUUUUCUUGAUCGCAUGAUCGGGAAAGGAAAGACGGCCUUUGUGCUGUCGCUUAUGGAUGGACCCGCGGCGUAUUAGUUAGUUGGUGAGGUAACGGCUCACCAAGACGAUGAUACGUAGCCGACCUGAGAGGGUGAUCGGCCACAUUGGGACUGAGACACGGCCCAAACUCCUACGGGAGGCAGCAGUAGGGAAUCUUCCGCAAUGGACGAAAGUCUGACGGAGCAACGCCGCGUGAGUGAAGAAGGUCCUUCGGAUCGUAAAACUCUGUUGUCAGAGAAGAACAAGUUGGAGAGUAACUGCUCCAGCCUUGACGGUAUCUGACCAGAAAGCCACGGCUAACUACGUGCCAGCAGCCGC